GCCAGUCGGAAUGUUCUAAGCAUGCGAGUCAUUGUAGUAAUACAAGGCAGGCGGCUCAGUAACGCGUAGUCAACCUACCCUAAGGACGGGGAUAACCUCGGGAAACUGAGAAUAAUACCCGAUAGAACAUAGCUCCUGGAAUGGUUUAUGUUUCAAAUAAUUUAUUGCCCUAGGAUGGGACUGCGGCCUAUCAGUUUGUUGGUGAGGUAAUGGCCCACCAAGACUAUUACAGGUACGGGCUCUGAGAGGAGUGGCCCGGAGAUGGGUACUGAGACACGGACCCAGGCCCUAUGGGGCGCAGCAGGCGAGAAAACUUUGCAAUGUGCGAAAGCACGACAAGGUUAAUCCGAGUGGUUUCUGCUAAAGGAACCUUUUGUCAGUCCUAGAAACACUGAUGAAUAAGGGGUGGGCAAGUUCUGGUGUCAGCCGCCGCGGUAAAACCAGCACCUCAAGUGGUCAGGAUGAUUAUUGGGCCUAAAGCAUCCGUAGCCGGCUUUGUAAGUUUUCGGUUAAAUCCAUGCGCUCAACGUAUGGGCUGCCGGGAAUACUGCAAAGCUAGGGAGUGGGAGAGGUAGACGGUACUCGGUAGGAAGGGGUAAAAUCCUUUGAUCUAUUGAUGACCACCUGUGGCGAAGGCGGUCUACCAGAACACGUCCGACGGUGAGGGAUGAAAGCUGGGGGAGCAAACCGGAUUAGAUACCCGGGUAGUCCCAGCUGUAAACUAUGCAAACUCAGUGAUGCAUUGGCUUGAUGCCAAUGCAGUGCUGCAGGGAAGCCGUUAAGUUUGCCGCCUGGGAAGUACGUACGCAAGUAUGAAACUUAAAGGAAUUGGCGGGGGAGCACCACAAGGGGUGAAGCCUGCGGUUCAAUUGGAUUCAACGCCGGG
RNAcentral lists this ribosomal RNA (886 nucleotides) under uncultured archaeon. Its description in RNAcentral is "bacterial SSU rRNA". It matches the Rfam family "Archaeal small subunit ribosomal RNA", at positions 29 to 922 of the family's 1478-position model. The record is from RNAcentral.